UUUUCUAGCCUUGUGCAUACGCCUCCCUACCUGGAUUACUUGUCAUCAUGGAAUGAAGCUUCUACAUUCUAAUGUCCUUCAGGCUCUAGACCCGGAGGUUGGAUAAGGUUCCCUUGUUCUGUAAUACAAACUGUCCUGGGAAAGAUGGAAAAGCCACAUCCGGUGUUGUUGGCAAACAAACCAUGGAGACCUCACCUUGAUGUUGAUCCUACAUGACCUUUCUGUUCCAGGGGCAUUCAGAUGAUGUUAUGGGAGACGCUUUGAAGAUCAGAUGCUAGGUCUUAGAAGAAAGACCAUCUGUAAAGAAUCCUUUGCUUUCUCGCCUAGCAUAUCAGUAGAUCGAUCUAUUAAUCUAUCUAUCUGUGUAUCUAUCUAUCUAUCUAUCUAUCUAUCUAUCUAUCUAUCUAUCUAUCAUCUAUUUACCUACCUACCUACCUACAUAUCCGUCCUGUCUAUAUCUAUCAUCUUUCUAUCCAUCUAUCUAUCUGUCUCUAUGUAUCCAUCUGUCUCUAUCUUUAUCUUGCUAGCUAGCUAUCGUUCUUUUAUAUUGCUUCAUUUAAUCAAUCAAGCAUUCAUUUGGCAUGUUCUAUGUACUGAGAAGAACUGUGUUCACAGGUUGUGGAUUCAAUGAUAGAUGGUCUAUUUUUGAAUCCACAACCUAUGGAUUUGAAGAAAGAUAGUCUUUAGGAAGCAUGUUUACAUGGGAUAUAAAUGUAUGCUUAAUACUCAGAGAGACCCAGAUUCAAAUCCCAGCUCUGCUACCUACUUGCUGAGUGACCUUGGAUAAAUUGCUGCCCUACACCACCCACCAGGCCUCUGUUUGCUUAUAUAGAAAGAAAGUUAGUCCUUACUUUGUGAGACUGCUGUAAAGGUUCAAUGACAUGGUGAAUAGAAAGUACUUGAUGUAGGCCUGGCAUGGUGGCUCAUGCCUGUAAUCCCAGGACUUUGGGAGGCCCAGGUGGGUGGAUCACCUGAGGUCAGGAGUUCCAGACCAGCCUGGCCAACAUGGUGAAACCCCGUCUUUACUAAAAAUACAAAAAAUUAGCUGGGCAUGGUGGCAGGCCCCUGUAAUCCCAGCUACUCAGGAGGCUGAGGCAGGAGAAUUGCUUGAACCUGGGAGGUGGAGGUUGCAGUGAGCUGAGAUUGUGCCACUGCACUCCAGCCUAGGGAACAAGAGCAAAACUCCAUCUCAAAAAAAAAAGUGCUUGGUGUAAAAUCUGGUGCAUAGUAUGUGCACAAUAAAUCUCAGCUUUGCUUGCUUGCUUGGUUGAUUGAUUUUGUCUGUACUGUACUAAACUUAGUUUGGGGACUAAAUAUACAAAUACAAAUCAUACAUAUAUACCCAUUGUUUUUAGGAGCCUACGUCUUCUGGGAAAAGCAGGUGUGUUUGGUAAUUAGAAGUGUUUGAUAAUACCCAGGGAGGUAUUUAUAAGCACUGUGGGUGUCUAGUGUGCUGGGCCUAAAUCAGCCUGAAAAAUAAGAGGUAUCAUCUGUGGAUUUUCAAGUCCUUUAUCCCAUUUAACCCCCUAGAGAACCCUGAGAGGUUGGAAAUAUUGCCCCAUUUCAACAGAAGGCCCAGAAAAAUCAAGGCACAGUGGCCAGCAUUCUCUGCUGCACCUGGAAGGUACUAGACACCCUGAGGCAUCCUUGCUAGCGUACUCCUCAUGGGUGAGGCCUAAGCUGUGGCCACUGCAGAGGUCCAGAUACUUCCAGGAAGGUCUGAUUGUCAGUGAGGCAGUCUCUGUGUGCAGCCAGGAAUCUCUGAGUGCAAAGGACAGAGGAAUAGAAAUCUAGCAGGACAGGCUUGGCUCCAAUCCCACAUCUCAGGGCCAGAGAGCAGAAGAGAUUCUGAAUGGAGUGAGAUGACCAUCUCUGGUCUCUUACUUAGGCCCAGUCCACAGGCUCAUGUCUGGGGCCCCGGGGGAGUGAGGGCAGCAAAGAAGAACAGACAAUGGGCUCCACGCAGACCUCUGCAACACACUGGAGCCUGAGCCCAAUGCUGCACGACCCAUCAACUACAAGAAGGAGGGAGAAGGUGUAUGACCCCCCCUACACCCGCAACUCUCCCAUGAUCUCCAUGGAGACCCAAAGAUAUACACUGCAGCACCCAGCAAAGAUGUGGUACUUGGUAAGGACAGUGGUACCCACCUGUUCCACAGGGAACAUACUAAUCAUGUCUGAGAUAGCCCCUGAGAUGGGCUUGAAUACCCGGCUGUGGAGAAGUUAUAAGAGCUGAGGUCCUAUGGAGCCAAGAGGCAGUCAAGUUGGUAUUUAUUUAUGCAUUUACAACUAUUAAUGGGGCACCUUUUAUGCCCACAGACUGCUGAGGCCCGGAUUAAGCUAGCACAAGAGUUUGAUAAGAGGACAACUAACCCUGUGCUUUGAAAAUCCAAUUCACAUUUCUUGAGUAUGACUAUGUCCUAGGCAGUGGGGAUAUAAAGGAGAAUAACAUAACACCAUCUAUUGGAGACACCAAUGAGAAAACCAGAAUUGUAGUUCAACGCAAUAAAGGCUAUGCUGGUAAUACUUGUGAUAAUCCCUGAACCAACUGGUAUGGCCAAUCAUAGGCAUGAGAUCUCAGCUAGUCCAGUCAGAGUGAAUCUCAGAGCUCUUUACUGUCUAAAAAGCUUGUUCUUUUUUCUUCUAGGUGUUGGAGUGUGGAUAUGAGUCAUGGAACUCUGGGGCUAUGUUGCUGCCAGGUAAGAAUCUGUUCUAGGAAGGAUAAAAUCAAUGGACAUAGAAAGGCAGACUGGAGAAGGGAAAGGGAGCUGAGCCCUGCUGAUAGAGUAAACCUCUGGAUUAAACUAUGCCUGAAGCCC
Homo sapiens (human) is the source of this 2819-nucleotide long non-coding RNA. Ensembl annotates it as crystallin beta B2 pseudogene 1. Its record names the gene CRYBB2P1. The record is from Ensembl. NCBI's taxonomy places the organism in Eukaryota, Metazoa, Chordata, Mammalia, Primates, Hominidae.